GACGAACGCUGGCGGCGUGCUUAACACAUGCAAGUCGAACGGAAAGGCCCUGCUUUUGUGGGGUGCUCGAGUGGCGAACGGGUGAGUAACACGUGAGUAACCUGCCCUUGACUUUGGGAUAACUUCAGGAAACUGGGGCUAAUACCGGAUAGGAGCUCCUGCUGCAUGGUGGGGGUUGGAAAGUUUCGGCGGUUGGGGAUGGACUCGCGGCUUAUCAGCUUGUUGGUGGGGUAGUGGCUUACCAAGGCUUUGACGGGUAGCCGGCCUGAGAGGGUGACCGGCCACAUUGGGACUGAGAUACGGCCCAGACUCCUACGGGAGGCAGCAGGGGGGAAUAUUGCACAAUAGGCGGAAGCCUGAUGCAGCAACGCCGCGUGCGGGAUGACGGCCUUCGAGUUGUAAACCGCUUUCGCCUGUGACGAAGCGUGAGUGACGGUAAUGGGUAAAGAAGCACCGGCUAACUACGUG
Molecule: ribosomal RNA, 468 nt
Filed under: uncultured bacterium
Lineage: Bacteria
Description: partial 16S ribosomal RNA
Rfam family: Bacterial small subunit ribosomal RNA
Source: RNAcentral